Non-coding RNA from Caenorhabditis elegans, 279 nucleotides. Lineage: Eukaryota; Metazoa; Nematoda; Chromadorea; Rhabditida; Rhabditidae. The record is from Ensembl.
CUCCGCCUUGUCCCAAGGGGAAUUGGGUGGAGAACUAAUUAAGAAAGUCGAAAACAAUAGAAUAUAUUGAGGUGUAGACUAUGUCGGAAACAAGAAAAAUGCGAAUAAGAGGAUGGAAAGGAAGGGAAGGAAAAAAUGUGCAACAAACUUGGGAGCUAAGACCGGACUCCACAUUUAACCCAUCCAGUGUUGUUUCUCACGAUGGGCUCAAGAGCGGAACGUCGUUUCAUUCUUGUGAUUUUACCAUCCAUUCCCACCAGAUUUGAGAUUUACCGAGUG